Aedes aegypti (yellow fever mosquito) is the source of this 72-nucleotide non-coding RNA. Lineage: Eukaryota; Metazoa; Arthropoda; Insecta; Diptera; Culicidae. The record is from Rfam.
GGCUCGGUAGCGUAGUUGGUAAAGCACUCGUGUAGCAUACAAGAGUAGUGGGUUCGAAUCCCUCCUGAGCAC